Spodoptera frugiperda (fall armyworm) is the source of this 3767-nucleotide RNA transcript. It is a transcript of the gene named cytochrome P450 6B7, with no coding region annotated. NCBI's taxonomy places the organism in Eukaryota, Metazoa, Arthropoda, Insecta, Lepidoptera, Noctuidae. The transcript is spliced from 3 exons. The record is from RefSeq and is a predicted model, not a curated record.
AUUCAUAAGUGUCCAGAGCUCGUAUUUGGCCAGUCACAACCAUGGCGGCCUUAUAUUUCCUCGCCGCAGUUCUAGUGUUAGUGUACGCGUUAUAUUAUUACUUCACAAGGACAUUCAACUAUUGGAAGAGCAGAAAUGUGCGAGGACCAAAACCAGUUGCAUUAUUUGGAAACAUUAAGGACGCAGCUCUUCGCAAAGAAAAUUAUGGCAUCGUAAUGCAAAAUAUAUACAAUGCAUAUCCAAAUGAAAAAGUAGUCGGCAUAUACAGGAUGACUUCGCCUUGUCUCCUUAUUCGAGACCUGGACAUUAUCAAACAUAUCAUGAUCAAAGACUUCGAAGCCUUCAGUGAUCGUGGAGUGGAAUUCAGCAAAGAAGGAUUGGGACAAAACUUAUUCCACGCGGACGGAGAUACAUGGACUGCCUUGAGGAACAGAUUCACUCCCAUUUUCACAACAGGUAAAUUGAAGAACAUGUUUUACCUAAUAAAUGAGGGAGGCGAUUCAUUUGUAGAGUACAUCCGUACAGAAUGCCAAAAGAAGGAAGAAUUUGAUAUUCAGCCUCUCCUCCAGACGUACACUAUGUCUACGAUCUCUGCCUGUGCAUUCGGAAUUAGCUAUGACAGUCUUGAUGAUAAAAUGGAUACUCUGAAACUUGUGGAUAAAAUAUUUUCUUCACCAAGUUAUGCAAAUGAAUUGGAUAUGAUGUAUCCCGGUCUUCUGAAAUAUCUAAACCUUUCUUUAUUCCCUACAUCCAUAAAAAAGUUCUUUGACAAUCUAGUAAAAAAUGUUAUAGAGCAAAGAAAUGGUAAACCAUCGGGUCGAAAUGAUUUCAUGGAUCUUAUUUUGGCGCUCCGUGAAAUGGGAGAGGUCACAAACUCAAAAUAUGACUCUGCAAAGCCAGUUGAAAUAACACCUGGUGUGAUAGCAGCGCAAGCUUUUGUAUUUUAUGCGGCUGGUUAUGAAACCAGUGCUACCACUAUGACGUACAUGUUGUACCAACUAGCAAUGAACCCAGACAUCCAAAAGAAGUUGACCGAAGAAAUUGACGAGUCUCUCAAAGCAAAUAAUGGACAAGUUACAUACGAGAGCAUUAAGGAAAUGAAGUAUUUGAACAAAGUGUUUGAUGAAACUCUACGAAUGUACUCGAUUGUAGAACCUCUACAGAGGAAAGCUGUAAGAGAUUACAAAGUGCCCGGUACUGACUUGACGAUAGAAAAGAACACAAUUGUGCUGAUAUCUCCGAGAGGUAUCCACUACGACGAGAAAUAUUACGCCAACCCUGAACAAUUCAACCCUGACAGAUUUGACCCGGAGGAGGUGGGCAAGCGGCAUCCGUGCGCUUACAUACCGUUUGGAACUGGACAGAGAAACUGCAUCGGAAUGAGGUUCGGCAGACUUCAAUCCCAAUUGUGCAUAACCAAGUUGCUGUCCAAGUUCCAAGUGGAGCCAUCGAGGAAUACUGCAAGGAAGCUGGAAGUUGAACCUUGUCGCCUUCUCGUCGGGCCCAAAGGAGGGAUGCGUCUGAAUAUUGUUCCAAGAAAACUGAAGGCUUAAAGACUUUUAAAACUGUUCAUAAAUCCAUCCAUCUAACAGGUAAAUUUAGGUACAACAAUGUGUCAAUAUUAUUUUUCAUUGAAUUUUCGACUUUGUAUGUAAAGUCGGUUGAAAUCUAAUACCACAGAAAAUUACGUCAAUUUUAUUUUUCAUUGAAUUUUAUACUUUAUAUGUAAACAAUACGGUUGAAAAUCUAAUACAGAAAAUUAACAGCAAGUUAACCUACUGCAGGUUAACUUGCUGACCAUUGUGUAUAGAAUAUUGUUUUAAAGUUCAAAACCAUAAUUGUAUAUGGCUAAUUUUGCCAGUUAUGAUAUUCUAGUGCGCGUGGACUUAGUGAGCCACUCCUUAGGUGCCAAACAGCGGGUUGGGGGUUCGCCUACUGCUUACAACGCAUAUGAGAUUAAACAAUAAUAAUUGGUGACCAAUAUUGUGAAUAAUAAAUUGUUCUAAUAUUGAAACAAAAGACUAAUGAACGUUUAGAAGUUUUAUGUACCCUGCUAACUAAUUCCUCGCGCACUAUUAUCGAGAUAUUAUUAAAACUCAUAAAGGGAUGAAACCGUCGACAAAUAUCGAUCAAAAAUUCAUUCAUUUGCAAAUUGUAUAUAAUUACUCAUAGCACAUUAAUCAUGCAUUUAGUUUAUAAGUAUGCUAUAUUUAAUUAAAUUAUUUAAAAACUAUGUUCGUUUUUAUUACAUAAAUUAUUAUACUUGUUAUACAAAAACGUUCUACUUAUUAUAUCUUGGUUAUCUUUAUAAUCUGUACAUCGUACUUAUAUCAUAUAAAAAAUUGGUUGUUUUAAGAAAAAGAUUAGAUAAAAAGAGACGCAUAGACACGACGCGACGGUAGACGAACCAUAAAAAAUUGUAUAAAAUCAUGAUUUGAACUUGGUACAUUUUUUAUAUAAUAUUACACGAUAGUAUAGGAAUUUAUAUACAGUCACAAAAAAACAUAAUCACAAUUGGGUAAUAUUCUAACCAUGACAUAGGACAUUUCGACAUAGGUUACAACAUAACCAGAAAAAAUAAAUUAUACUGUACAAUGUACUUACAAAUCUGCCUACCUUUUAACAAGAACCGAUAAUAUUAAACUGUCAGAUAAAUUAACAAAAAAAACGUACUUGAAUAGAUAAACGAAUCAGGAAGAAGCUAGAGGUUAUUCAAGGUCAUUCCUUUGUCUAUCUAUACCGUCAGCACCGCCGCGCGCCGUACUAUGAUGUUACAUAACAAUACAUAAAUAGCUAUGUAUAAUAUAUUGUGUAUAGAAUUAUAUACUGUGGUACUUCAUAAGAAAUGAUUUGUCAAUAACAAUUAAUCUGACUAAAUACAUUAAAGAGUUUUAUAUCACUUAUUAUAAAACUAUUUUUAUAUGUUAUUUAAUUCUUUUAUACUUUUUGCUGGAUAUCCGUUAAGCUAAUGAACAGCAAUAGAUAUGUAUAAAUGUAAUUAGUAUAUUAGUAAAUGGAAGAUUCCUACACAAAUGCCUGAAGUCUAGAAACAGGUUUUGUAGUUAAGUAAAAUGUUUUGUAAUCACGAAUGUUACAUACUCUUGUACCCAAAAUUGGCACAUGUAGAGUAUCUAAAGACGGGUAGGUGCGAGAGAAAGUAAUAAACAUGGAGUUGUCGGUGUCUGUAAUUCAAUGAGUGGUGGUAGAUACGUCUGGGUAGGGCGAGUUGAACAAACCCAGUGCCGCAUUGAUCGAUACCACCGGCCGGUUCAGGCGAAACGCCCCGAACAUUGCAGCACUUUAUGAAAGAAACACUAUCUCUUUUUUAUAUAUAAAUACCUCUUUUAUGGAUUAUGGUACUAAAAAAAUAAGUGUUUUUAUAAAUAUCACUAAUCCAACCCUUUCUAGUCACCAAUCAAUAACGCCAAGGAAAAAAACCGCCAACUCUAUCAGUUCUGUAUAAAGGUGAUUUUUCAAAAAACUCUAAUAUUUAUUGAACAAAUCAUUAUUCUCCCCGUUAUUAAGCAUCGUGGUAGCUAAUUAUCAUCCUUAUUUUUAUUAGAUUGGUUGAGAACAGUGUCACAGCUUAAUUUAUUGAGCACAAAUUUUGUGUUUCAAUCGGCAGAAUUGUUAACUUUUGGUUGAAUUUAUUUGAAUUUAAUGAAGUCAGGUUAUGUAAUAUGGAACCAAAUACGAAAUAAAUUGACUGUAUAUUUUUGUGUAUUUAAAAAUUGCUUAUGCUUAUAAAAUAUAGUGUUUUGUCUUUU